This 724-nucleotide long non-coding RNA is filed under the name Pan troglodytes (chimpanzee). Its description in RNAcentral is "long non-coding RNA NONPTRT013321". The record is from RNAcentral. Lineage: Eukaryota; Metazoa; Chordata; Mammalia; Primates; Hominidae.
GUAGUUCUCAGGGCUAUUUCUGGAGUAAAAGUGACAGAAUGGGCAAAUAACUGAGACUUAUAAACAAAGACGAAUGUUCUCCACUGUCUAAUCUAUUGCAACUGGUUUUAACUGUUUCAACUGUAGAUGUCUGAAUGUUUUCCUUAACAGCUCACUUAAUUGUUAAAUUGUUUUACUGUCUACCAUGACACCUAUUCUUUCAUGAAUAUUUUUAAAAAUCUGUUUUUUUCUAUCUAGAUAAUUUUGAAUUUUAGAAACCCCCUUACAUUUUUAAGUGUGAUAUUACAUGUGGUACACAUUUUCCUGCUUGUUAUAUUGUUCAGAUAGAAUAAUUACAAUUACCAUCAGGACACAUGCUUUGGAAGGGGAAACACCACACUAAGUAUGCUGCUUAUUGGCCAUGAUCCAGCAUCAGUUUCAUUCCUUGGAAGAACUGUCUUGCAGAUUCAUAGACUCUAUGGCCCAUGUGGUUAUGACCCAUGGGCAAAGCGGGCUUUUGACGCAGCCCCUGAAUGUUAGCAAGUGCUGACAUAGGCCUCAUCAUUGGACAGAUGAGUAUAAACGCAAAAAAACAAGCUUUUCACUUUUGCCCCUGUCUCUUACAAUAUGUCCAUUAAAGAAAGUAGUGUCAUUCAUUGUCACUUUACUUCUGAGUGGAAACUUUGUUUUCUUGGAAGUUUUCAAACAAUUGUUAAAUCUUCAUUAGAACAAGCCUUUUUAUCUC